GAUGAACGCUGGCUACAGGCUUAACACAUGCAAGUCGAGGGGAAACGCCGGGGAAGCUUGCUUCCCCGGGCGUCGACCGGCGCACGGGUGAGUAACGCGUAUCCAACCUGCCUCUGACUGAGGGAUAACCCGUCGAAAGUCGGCCUAAUACCUCAUGGUAUCGUCUGCGGGCAUCCAACGACGAUUAAAGAUUUCAUCGGUCAGGGAUGGGGAUGCGUCUGAUUAGCUUGUUGGCGGGGUAACGGCCCACCAAGGCUACGAUCAGUAGGGGUUCUGAGAGGAAGGUCCCCCACAUUGGAACUGAGACACGGUCCAAACUCCUACGGGAGGCAGCAGUGAGGAAGAUUGGUCAAUGGGCGAGAGCCUGAACCAGCCAAGUAGCGUGCAGGAAGACGGCCCUAUGGGUUGUAAACUGCUUUUAUGCGGGGAUAAAGUGAGGGACGGGUCCCUCAUUGCAGGUACCGCAUGAAUAAGGACCGGCUAAUUCCGUG
RNAcentral lists this ribosomal RNA (491 nucleotides) under uncultured bacterium. Its description in RNAcentral is "partial 16S ribosomal RNA". It matches the Rfam family "Bacterial small subunit ribosomal RNA", at positions 28 to 507 of the family's 1533-position model. The record is from RNAcentral.